UCUCAGGCAAGUCUCUUUGGUUCUCUGACCCUCAGAUUCCUCCUUCAUGAAACACAGGCAAAAACUCAAAACUUUCCGCCUUGUUAUAAUGAUUAAUUAAUGUGGCUAAGUGCUUAGUCUGAGGUCUGGCUUGCUGUGGAUCUUCAAUAAUACGCCUUGGAGUACGUCCCAGAGAAGGUUUUCAGAUAAAGACAGUUGAAGAAACAGAGAUUUAAGAUAACUUACCUGCAACUUUGGCAAGCAACACCAAGCCCAUCUGCGUCUAUCCAGGAGUUCCCACAGAGGCCCAAGUCAGAUGAGGAUCAGAUGCUCUCAGACUUUCUCCUAAGUUAUUGAAAGAGUGCCUUCUGUCUCCAUCUUUGCUGAGAAUCAAUGACCACAGCUGUGAGUUAUCUCCUGGACUGCACCUCACUUUCCACAAGGCUCACAGGUCUCCGUGUCAGCACCAGCAACCCCACGACUGUUGCACGGCAAGCUGGGAAACAGUGUUGUGACUCUCCUGGCUGUGUAAGUACUUUUAACAAUCUAGACACUUAGGAUCCAGUUUGCAGCUUCUUCAAACAGGAAGCCUAGUAGGGGGCAGUUCUGGCUGAAUCGCACUGACAGCUAAGUAAUUUGGGAAGAACUAGGACCCUGCUCAUGUUGAAUCUUCUGAACCUUGAAAAAAAUGCACAGCUUUCUACUUACGAAGUUCUCUUGAUUUCUUUCAAAAUAUUGUACAAUUUUAAGUGCGCUGGUCUGACCUACAUAUUGAUGAGUUUAUCCCUAUGUAUGGUACAUCACGCUGGUUGUAUUACUAUAAAUGCCAUUGUUUGUUCAAUUUCAACUUCUAAUUUGUAUUGCUAGUAUACAGAUUCUGAGUUUUCAUGUCUCUCACACUUGGCAACCUUCUUACACUCUCUUAUUUACAUAUAAAUAUUUCUGUGAAUUCCAUGGGAUUUUCUAUAUAACUAUCUUCACAAUUAAUUGAAAAGUUUUAAAAUUUUAAUUUUUCAUUUUCACUAUAGGCAUCUGUUCACCUCCCCUUCUUUCUAACUUUAAUUCACCAGCUAGCAGUCUGUGUACAGUAUUCAAAGGCGAUGUCGUGGCCCUUUCUUGACCCUAGUGGGAAGAGUUCAGUGUCUGCUAAGAGUUGUGUCUGCUGUGUGGUUUGAGGCUCCUUCUUUCUCAGGCUGAGGAAAUUCUGUGCCUGUUUUGGGAAGAGGGAGAUUUCAGAGUGGGUGUUGGGUGUUUCACAGAUGUCCCCACAUCUGUUGAGAUAAUCAUAUUUCUUUUCUAAUUUUAUUACUGAGGUGAACUUACUUUACCCAUGAUAGAGCAAACGUCCACUCCUGGGUUAAGCCCUAUUUAUCACUACCCCUUUCAUAUAUUGCUUACGUUUUGUUUAGCUCUUUUGGUUAUAUUUUCUUGAGGAGUGUGAGCUUGUAAGUUUUUUUAGUCUAAUAUAUUUUUUUCUAUAAGAAGAGUGGCCUCAUAUGAUGGAGUGCUGCCUGCCCUUGGAUGGUCUACUAGUAUUAUGUAAAGUUGGUCUCACUUCCUCCACAUGCUUGGUUGAAUUUACCAGUCACAAUGUCUGGGCCCAGGAAUUUCUUUGUAGGAAGGUUUAAAAGAACUGAUUUAGUUUCUCCAAUAGAUUAUUUCUUUCUUUCUAUGUGAACCUCAACAGCAUUGCUGUUUUCUGAAUCUAUCUUCAUGUAAAUUGUUGAUUUAUUGGCAUUGGAGGAUUAUUUUCUUAUUUUAAACUUCAUGUGUAUAGAAUCUGUAACCACUCCCCAUACUGAUGAGCUGUCUUCUGUCUUCUUUCCUGGUUAAUGUAGCUGGAGUCUAACAGUUUUCUCAAAUUUCUCAGUGAGCCUGAUUUUUGUCUAUUUCAGUUCUCACUGAUUUCCACACAGAUCUUCUCUCAGUUUCAUUUGCUUUAUUUUUUGAGAGUGAAUGUCUCAAUCUGUUGCCCAGGCUGGCUGGAACUGGUGAUGCUCCUGUUUCUGCCUGCCGAUGCAAGCCUGACAAGCAUGGACCAAGCCUGGCCUUUUCUGAGCACGUGCAUGGCAUUAGUGGGAGACGUUCUUUAUUCUAACAUACUGGCCCGGCUGUGUCUACCUGCACACAUGGGGAACUUGAUAUGUUGUUUUCUCUCAGUUCAAAAUAUUUUCUACACUCUUGAUUGAAUUAUCUUUAGGCACAUGGGUGGUAGAGAAAGGGUAACUCAUGUUCAAGCGUUGGAGCCUCUCUUUCUGAGCAUUUCUGUCUGCGUAGUGUACUUUUGCUGGGUGCUCUCUCGAGUUCCAUUGGGUCAUGCUCAUAUUUGUGUUGCUCAGACUUCCUCUUUUCAUUACUGGUUUUCUCUCUCCUGAGAGACCUGAGUGACUCCAUCUUGGAUAAAACCUCCAUAG
Molecule: long non-coding RNA, 2393 nt
Organism: Nannospalax galili (Upper Galilee mountains blind mole rat)
Lineage: Eukaryota; Metazoa; Chordata; Mammalia; Rodentia; Spalacidae
Exons: 3
Source: RefSeq, a predicted model, not a curated record